UGCCAGCCGCCGCGGUAAUACGGAGGGUGCAAGCGUUAAUCGGAAUUACUGGGCGUAAAGCGCGCGUAGGCGGUUUUUUAAGUCGGAUGUGAAAUCCCCGGGCUCAACCUGGGAACUGCAUUCGAUACUGGGGAACUGGAGUACGGGAGAGGGAGGUAGAAUUCCAUGUGUAGCGGUGAAAUGCGUAGAUAUAUGGAGGAAUACCGGUGGCGAAGGCGGCCUCCUGGUCCGAUACUGACGCUGAGGUGCGAAAGCGUGGGGAGCAAACAGGAUUAGAUA
Molecule: ribosomal RNA, 279 nt
Filed under: uncultured bacterium
Lineage: Bacteria
Description: partial 16S ribosomal RNA
Rfam family: Bacterial small subunit ribosomal RNA
Source: RNAcentral